Pezoporus flaviventris is the source of this 647-nucleotide long non-coding RNA. RefSeq lists it as uncharacterized. Lineage: Eukaryota; Metazoa; Chordata; Aves; Psittaciformes; Psittacidae. The transcript is spliced from 3 exons. The record is from RefSeq and is a predicted model, not a curated record.
GGCUGAACACCACCCUGCCAGUAGGCAGUGGUGAGUGAUGGCCUUGUUUCUCUUUGCUUGUGUGCACAGCUCUUGCUUUACCUAUUAAACUGCCUUCAUCUCAACCCACAAGUUUUCCCACCUUUACACUUCUGACUCCCCCCCCAUCCCACCGUGGGGAAUUGAGCAAGCAGCUGUGUGGGGCUUAGCUGCUGACUGAAGUCAAACCACAACAGCUGACCAGGUUGUUUGACAUCCAUGGAGCUAAACAAAAACCCCUUUACCUAUUCUGUCAAUUCAGAUGUACAACGAGAUACUACAACAGUUAUUUUCUAGAGAGUGGAUCUCCACUGCAGAUUUGGAACCCACAGUUUACUGUUCAUGUCCUCAGUACAAGAAAUCUCACUUUUAGGAAUCCCAUUAUAGAGAAGCAACAGGUUUAGGUGUUCCAGCCCUACAGCAGCUUUGGAGCCUGGUUCUUCCCUCACAGAGACAUCGCUCUGGCCUUGCAGAUUUUCAGGAAAGGUUCCUUCAUAGAAAAGUCUCCAUUUUAAGUUUACAAUAGUCACAUUUUGAACAGUCUCAGAUUUGUUGGAGUUCCAUCCAAGGCAACUCUCAGGUAUAUAUCAGAGCAGAAGCCCUGAUUCUCUGUAAAUAAACAUCAUAUA